GAUCCUGUAGUGUAGCGGUUAUCACUAUGGAUUCUGAUUUAGCCAAAAAUUCACCUUCCAUCGACCCAGGUUCGAUUCCUGGCAGGAUCU
Molecule: non-coding RNA, 90 nt
Organism: Marasmius fiardii PR-910
Lineage: Eukaryota; Fungi; Basidiomycota; Agaricomycetes; Agaricales; Marasmiaceae
Source: the annotation of a GenBank genome assembly